GAUCUUUUGAAAGCUAUCCCUAUAACUGGAGGACCUGCCUGACUUGUUUGGCCUGUCUGCUCCCUCAACUUUCUCUGUGGCAACAGUGAGCUCUCCAGUGAGCAUCUCAGCACAUAUACAGUAUGCCCCACAUCUUCAGCUGCUGCGACGCUGUCGAAGAGGAGACAAUGGUCAUAGAGUUAAAGACGGAGAGAGAGAACUUAUUUAUGGAUAAACUGGAUGUGGAGGAAGGCCGAAUUACCUCUUAUGAGGUGGAAAAGCUCAUGAACACGAAUCCCAAUAAGAAGAAAGACACUAUGAAACCUGUUAAGAAGGAAAAGCCUAAAAACGGGGGAAAGCGCAUGAACAUGAAUCACUACGCCACUAAGAAGAGUGUGGCUCAGAGCAUGCUGGACGUCGCCUUGCUGAUGGCCAUCUCGUCCCAGCUGAAGACCGUUCUCUAUGUGGGGCCUCAAUACCGUUUCUACAUCCCCCUCGUUGUCCUGCUGUCUCUGUCCAUCACGCUGCAGGUCAUAGUGGGGCUGCUGCUCCUCUUUAUCGGCAAGUCACUCAGACAUUUUGCAACUCCACUGAUAUCAUUCCUCCUCCUCCAUCUUUCUUGCACAUUCAAUACAAGCCUUUGUAAGAGCUUGUCAGUCUUACUGUAUAUUUAGUAGUCAAAUCAAACACUAAACUCUUCUGUGAUUUGAAUAUUCUUUCUCGUAAUAUAAACACUUAUUUGACAUCUAUUUAUCUACAAGCAGUGUUUUGGUAUAGGUAAUGUCAGAGGACAUGUGCCCUUGUUGCUUUAGAGUCUUGUGUAAAAGGUGGUUGAGGUUAAUGUCAGGGUAAGUCUCCAGGGGAUGAAUCAAAGUCAUUGCAAGAUACAAAAUCAUAUUUGUUGAUUGGUUUUGCACUCUUGUGUUUCUUGAUUAAGGAUAAGGAUAUAUAUAUAACUAUAAUGAAAUAUUAACAAUGGUUUAUGGUUUGCAUUUAAGUAGAAAUACUGUCAGUCUGACUGUGAAUCAAACAAAUCCCCCAAUUGCUUGACUUAGUUUUUUUCUGCAACAGGAUUUUCUCUCUACUUUAUUUUAUUCUGUUUACUACUUGUUGCUGAGGGGAGGUUAGCAGCUUUCAUGUGAAUGUGACAGCAGGCACAACGGAGUGAUGGAGAGAGAGAAAGAAAAGAGGAGGAGGAAGGGGUAGAGGUGGAAGUGGUGGUGGGAGAAGACUGAGGAGGUCAAAAGGAGGAAAAAUAAAUGAGGGGAAAAUUAUGAGUAAAGACAAGAGGCAAAAAAGAGAGAGGAGAGGAGAGGCAGUCAUGGCAUCCUCUCAGCUGUUUGCUCGCUACACCAUUUGAUGUGAGUUGAGGUUUUCCCUUUUCCUCUCUUCAACUUUUUAAUGAAGCUAAUUUAGUUUCUGCUGUUGUGCCAUUGUGUGCCCGCAGGGACGUAUGAUCUGAACGAGGAGGAGAAACACAAAAGGCUGAACAUAAUGAACAAUGCAGUGACACUGUUUGUCUUCUUCAUCGUCCUCAUCAACGUCUUCAUCACAGCAUUUGGAUUGCAGGGAUAUGUACUCAGUUCAUUCGUGGCACCUGGGAUGUCGUUAAAAGAGCCUAAGCCUUCCUUUCCUCCCUGGGACAGUAACACGACUGGACUAACACUCCCGGGACCAAAAUAAGACUUUCCUUGUUCACCUGUUAUGUCAAAGCCUUGAAAUCUAAUAAAGGCCUUUUUAGUACUUCUGUAUCAGCUAGCUGUUCAAAUUACAACUCAGAUCACUCGGGAUCACU
RNA transcript from Sebastes umbrosus (honeycomb rockfish), 1774 nucleotides. RefSeq lists it as uncharacterized. NCBI's taxonomy places the organism in Eukaryota, Metazoa, Chordata, Actinopteri, Perciformes, Sebastidae. The record is from RefSeq and is a predicted model, not a curated record. The transcript is spliced from 4 exons.